RNAcentral lists this long non-coding RNA (1529 nucleotides) under Marmota monax (woodchuck). Lineage: Eukaryota; Metazoa; Chordata; Mammalia; Rodentia; Sciuridae. The record is from RNAcentral.
AGCAGUUUGGGAAGCUGAGGCAGGAAGAUUGAGAGUUCAAAGUCAGCCUCAGAAAUUUAACAAGACCCUAAGCAACUCUGUGUGACCCUGUCUUUAAAUAAAAUACAAAAUAGGGCUGGGAUGUGGCUCAGUGGUUAAGUGCCCUUGAGUUCAAUCCCUGAUACCCCCCUCCCCCGCCAAAAAAGUAUGAGGAUGAAGCUGUAGCUCAGUGGUAGAGCAUUUGCCUAGCUUGUUCAAUGCUCUGAGUUCCAUCCCCAGCACUGCAAAAAAUAAAAAUAUAUUCUUAAGUUUAAAAUUGAGUCGAUCUAAGGAAAAAUAUUCAAAUUAUUAAACCAGUGAAAGUGAAGGGGAUGGAUUAUCAAUAACUAAAUUUGACCCCCACACACAUACACUCCACAUAGUGUCUUUGAAGCAGGGAGAACAGGAAUGAGGAAAGCCCAAGAAGGGGCCAAGCUUCUGCCAUGAUGUCUGAGGAGUGCAGGGCCUCUGUCAGAAAUGGCUCAUGGGGUGGGAAGAGAGCCUGAUGUGCCAGUGCUGGGCUGCCUUAAGCAGAACCCUCACUAUAGCCCCCCCACCCCAGCCUUCUCCUUUUGAAACAGGGCAGCCGUUGCCUGGCUCCUUUCCCGUUUUCCAUUGCUCUCCGUGCCCUUGCAGUAAUUAAUUAAUCUGGGCCUGUCUGCCACCCAAACUCCCUCCAGGCACUUCCUGGCUCUGUCUGUCACCCUGUGGAGUGGAUUGGGGCACUCCUUCACCCAAGGGUUUAGCUCCUGGUGUCUGAGAAGCAACUCUAGUCCUGACCCAGGAGGGAAGAUGGAGCCACAUUGGCACAGAAAAGUCUGCUUUCUUUCCAAACCCCAGCUGUGGGCCUUUCUUUGUUCUUUCUUUGUUCUUCUUGCUUCCCACAGUGAAAAUGCCCUUUUGUGUUGAGAUUACGUGCCAGCCCUCAGCCCACUUUGUCUUUCUGGACAUUUUCUGGGACAGCCCUUAACCUUCUUAACAUGUGGUCUCGGUCUCGGGACCAAGUAACUGCGAAGGUCCAGGAGCUAAGCUGGGAAAAAAAAAAUCUAUAUUUUUUUCUCUCUCUCCCUCUCUGCAAUAGUAGGGAUGUUUUACUACUGAGUUACACCCCCCACCCCCGUCCUUUUUAUUUUGAGACAGGAUCUCACUAAAUUGCCUAGGCUGGCCUUGGGCUUGCCAUCUUUCUGCCUCAGCCUCCUGAGUUACUGGGAUUAAAGGUUUGCACCACCAAGCAGGCCCCAUCUAUUGUUUCACCAACCUUUAACUGAAAUUUGAUAUGUCCUUCAAUUAUGAAUGGAAGCAGCAGAGUUAGAAGAAUUACCAAUUCCUUGACCCUCAUGAUAGAAAUCACAGGAAUUUUCAUCUAUUGUCAGUUACUUAAAAAUAGUUGUUACAUGGGGCUGGGAUUAUGGCUCAGUGGUAAAGUGCUCACCUAGCACGUGUGAGGCCCUGGGUUCAAUCCUCAGCACCACAUAAAAAUAAAUAAAUAAAUAAAUAAAGAUAUGUGUCCA